RNAcentral lists this small nucleolar RNA (107 nucleotides) under Gossypium hirsutum (cotton). RNAcentral describes it as "Plant small nucleolar RNA R71". It matches the Rfam family "Plant small nucleolar RNA R71". Rfam says of the family: R71 is a member of the C/D box family of snoRNAs containing the C (UGAUGA) and D (CUGA) box motifs. Multiple nearly identical copies of this snoRNA have been identified in Arabidopsis, and it is thought to function as a 2'-O-ribose methylation guide for 18S ribosomal RNA. Lineage: Eukaryota; Viridiplantae; Streptophyta; Magnoliopsida; Malvales; Malvaceae. The record is from Rfam by way of RNAcentral.
AACCCAAGAUAAUGGCACAUUCUCAGUAAGUCCUUGUAUCUCUCCCAUGCAUCAUAUAAUGUACAUAAAUCAAUUUGGGCAAAGGAAGAAAUGUCAUUCCUCAACUU